Molecule: ribosomal RNA, 262 nt
Filed under: uncultured bacterium
Lineage: Bacteria
Description: partial small subunit ribosomal RNA
Rfam family: Bacterial small subunit ribosomal RNA
Source: RNAcentral
AGAGCGAACGCUGGCGGCGUGCUUAACACAUGCAAGUCGAGUGCGCGCCUGUAGCAAUACAGGUGGCGCACGGCGCACGGGUGCGUAACACGUGGGUAAUCUGCCCUUCGGUGGGGAAUAACUCCGGGAAACCGAAGCUAAUUCCGCAUAACAUUCCUUGAACUUCGGUUUGGGGACUCAAAGCCGUAAGGCGUCGGAGGAGGAACCCGCGCACGAUUAGCUAGUUGGUAGGGUAACGCCUACCAAGGCUUUGAUCGUUAGC